GCAGGCUGCAACCCGCCUCGCAUGAAGUCGGAAUUGCUAGUAAUCGCGGAUCAGCAUGCCACGGUGAAUACGUUCCCGGGCCUUGCACACACCGCCCGUCACACCAUGGGAGUCGGUAACACCCGAAGCCUGUAGUCUAACCGCAAGGAGGACGCAGUCGAAGGUGGGAUUGAUGACUGGGGUGAAGUCGUAACAAGGUAUC
Molecule: ribosomal RNA, 202 nt
Filed under: uncultured bacterium
Lineage: Bacteria
Description: partial 16S ribosomal RNA
Rfam family: Bacterial small subunit ribosomal RNA
Source: RNAcentral